UAAAAAAAAAAACCUAGACUACACAAAAAAAAAAGCUUCAGCCGUUUUUUUAGGAUUUGAAACCCUAGGACCCCUUCUUCUUCUUCCUUAAAACUUAACCCUAGAGAAUCUCCAAAAGAAGAACCCAACUGCACCAUCACGGUCGUACACCACCAUAACAGCACCUUCUCACCUCUUCUUCUUCUUCUUCAUACCACUAAGCGUCAACCACCAUCAGCCGCCCAUACCCAAACCUAGCGACCUCGCUAUCGCCAACCAUCCUCCAUAGCUACCGAUUUUCAUCACCACUACAAGCGAGAAACACACAUACAUACAAGUACAAGAACAAAAAAAAUGAACACAAACUAGUCGUCCACCCCUCGUCUCUGCCAACAAUUGCCAAAACUGCCAAAACUACCGGAAUCUGGCGAGUCCAGCUAACUGGCCAUACAGAGGAUCCCACCGAAACACUUUUGUUAAACUCUUGUUUUUUAUCAGUGGAAAAGUAGAGAAGUGCUUUGAGUCAGCUCUAAUAAUCUCAAAGACUCGAGCAGCAAAGCACGUCAGUGACGCUUCAUAUAAACCUAGGCGACAUCAAGUGCGAAAUCUUCUCUGACGAAGUCCCUAGGGAUAUUGAGCUGAGGUUACUGAAAUCGUCGUUGUCCGGGAAGAUUCAUGUUUCUGUCAAGUUGUCGUUUUAAGUUUUCCGGUGUUGCAUUUUCAGAUUUCAUUUGGCAAAAAUAUACCUAAGAUGAAAGGUCCUGCAAAAUUUGUAAGCGUGUCAAGGAAAAUCAUACAAAAUACCCCGAGGGUUGAUAGUUAAUUGAACCUACCGUACAUGAGGUGGAUACUUAAAUGAGAGAAGCUGGCAAUCACCUUAAUGAUGGUAAAAGAAAGUGUGAAGUAUUCUGGCUCAUAUUCAAGAUUGCACAUUAGAGGAGCCCAUUUUUGUCUUAUGGGUCUUUCUGGCAUUUGCCUGGACUAAGUGCUGAGGUGCAGUGUUGCAUGCAUAAUGUAGAUGUUGCUUUGUAGUAGAGGAAGUUGAUAUGGGAGCACAUUCUUGUGAUGACUUGAUAUGUCAUCUUAUAUUUUAGAACCUAAUUUUGUGUUUUGAAGCCUUAAAUACCUUAUUUUGACCCUCCUCGAUUUGCGUGCACAUUCCGAUCAUUUUUAUGUGUUUUUGGUGAUAAUUGAGUAUUGAUUCAAAGUUGAGAUUUGGUAUUAUGGAACCGUUGUUGAAGUAAGUCUUGUUAUUGUUAUUUUAUCUCCUGUUGUUACUUGUUCAUUGUUAUAUGGUAAGGGAGAGUGUUAAUGUAUGAAGGGUGAUGUCGUGUCAUUUCUAUUGAUUUAUACUGUGAGUGUGAGUAAAAGCAUGAAGGGUGGUACCAUGUAGUAUCAUUGUUUCAUUGUGAGGUUGAGGGUAAAAGCACGAAGAGUGAUGCCAUGCAAUUUUCUUCAUUGUGCUUAAUUGUUUUUACUGGUUAAAGGCAUAUUGACUAUUCUGGUCAUCAUUUCCGCUAUAUUUCUCGUAUCCUGUACCCUUAGCAUGUCCCCCUCCCAAUAGUACAUGAUUAGU
This is a non-coding RNA of Nicotiana tabacum (common tobacco), 1555 nucleotides long. Lineage: Eukaryota; Viridiplantae; Streptophyta; Magnoliopsida; Solanales; Solanaceae. The record is from RefSeq and is a predicted model, not a curated record.